Pangasius djambal is the source of this 70-nucleotide non-coding RNA. The record is from the annotation of a GenBank genome assembly. Lineage: Eukaryota; Metazoa; Chordata; Actinopteri; Siluriformes; Pangasiidae.
UGCCAGGGGCAGUGGUAGCUCAGUGGACUACCGAUCAGCAGGUCGUGAGUUCAAAUCCCAGCACCUGCAA